UGAAGACAGCUUGUCUGUCAAAAUGUUGGAUAUUAGGUUAUUCAAUUAUUGCAUCUGAGUUCCUAGAGUGUGCGGCUCUCCUUUUCUUUUUCAAGUGUUCUACGCCGCUAGCCAGCACCUCGCCUAAACAGGUGUGCGUUUCUUUCGCCUCCAGAUUUGAGUCAUAUAUACACAUAAGCAGCACUGCCCAUCCCCCAGAGAAAUGCUUGAACCUCAACAUGGCUACAAGUUGCUGUUCAGGGCAUGGACUUGUUUUGGUAGAAGACGCAUUUGAGCAAGCAAGGGAUGGCCUUAUUGCUUCUGGACAUUACUUCUCUCUCUUUUCUCUCCUUUAGUUCCAUAUCGCCAGCACUAUUCCCCUCUCUCUUCAACCCUGACUCAUGUUUCUCAAUCUCAUCCCCUCUUUCUGCUUCCCCUCCCUCUCUAUCACAG
RNAcentral lists this long non-coding RNA (432 nucleotides) under Salmo salar (Atlantic salmon). Its description in RNAcentral is "lncRNA (ENSSSAG00000100956.1)". Lineage: Eukaryota; Metazoa; Chordata; Actinopteri; Salmoniformes; Salmonidae. The record is from RNAcentral.